Molecule: ribosomal RNA, 561 nt
Filed under: uncultured Gammaproteobacteria bacterium
Lineage: Bacteria; Pseudomonadati; Pseudomonadota; Gammaproteobacteria
Description: bacterial SSU rRNA
Rfam family: Bacterial small subunit ribosomal RNA
Source: RNAcentral
CCUUCGGAAUGAGAGAGUGGCGGACGGGUGAGUAACGCGUAGGAAUCUGUCCGGUAGUGGGGGAUAACGUUCCGAAAGGAACGCUAAUACCGCAUACGCCCUAUGGGGGAAAGCGGGGGAUCUUCGGACCUCGCGCUAUCGGAGGAGCCUGCGUCGGAUUAGCUAGUUGGUAGGGUAAAGGCCUACCAAGGCGACGAUCCGUAGCUGGUCUGAGAGGAUGAUCAGCCACACCGGAACUGAGACACGGUCCGGACUCCUACGGGAGGCAGCAGUGGGGAAUAUUGCGCAAUGGGGGCAACCCUGACGCAGCCAUGCCGCGUGUGUGAAGAAGGCCUUCGGGUUGUAAAGCACUUUCAGAGGGGAGGAAAGGGCGCUGGCUAAUAUCCAGUGCAGUUGACGCUACCCUCAGAAGAAGCACCGGCUAAUUCCGUGCCAGCAGCCGCGGUAAUACGGAAGGUGCAAGCGUUAAUCGGAAUUACUGGGCGUAAGCGCGCGUAGGCGGCUUGGUAAGUCGGAUGUGAAAGCCCCGGGCUCAACCUGGGAACUGCAUUCGAUACUGCC